Small nuclear RNA from Pteropus vampyrus (large flying fox), 147 nucleotides. Its record names the gene U1. It matches the Rfam family "U1 spliceosomal RNA". From Rfam's summary of the family: U1 is a small nuclear RNA (snRNA) component of the spliceosome (involved in pre-mRNA splicing). The record is from Ensembl. Lineage: Eukaryota; Metazoa; Chordata; Mammalia; Chiroptera; Pteropodidae.
ACACUUACCUGGUAGAGGAGAUACCGUGAUUAUGAAGGUGAUUUUUCCAAGGCAAGGUCACCCAUCAACCCCAGUGGUUUCCCCAAAUGUGGGAAACUCGACUGCAUAAUUUGUGGUUGUGGGGGACUGAAUUUGUGCUUUUGCCUA